This 253-nucleotide ribosomal RNA is filed under the name Enterobacter hormaechei. RNAcentral describes it as "partial 23S ribosomal RNA". It matches the Rfam family "Bacterial large subunit ribosomal RNA", at positions 362 to 618 of the family's 2925-position model. The record is from RNAcentral. Lineage: Bacteria; Pseudomonadati; Pseudomonadota; Gammaproteobacteria; Enterobacterales; Enterobacteriaceae.
GGGUGAUAGUCCCGUACACGAAAACACACUUGCUGUGAACUCGAAGAGUAGGGCGGGACACGUGGUAUCCUGUCUGAAUAUGGGGGGACCAUCCUCCAAGGCUAAAUACUCCUGACUGACCGAUAGCGAACCAGUACCGUGAGGGAAAGGCGAAAAGAACCCCGGCGAGGGGAGUGAAAAAGAACCUGAAACCGUGUACGUACAAGCAGUGGGAGCCUCUUUAUGGGGUGACUGCGUACCUUUUGUAUAAUGG